GAGUUUGAUUAUGGCUCAGGACGAACGCUAGCUACAGGCUUAACACAUGCAAGUCGAGGGGCAGCAUUAUCUUAGCUUGCUAAGAUAGAUGGCGACCGGCGCACGGGUGAGUAACACGUAUCCAACCUUCCGGUUACUCGGGGAUAGGCUUUCGAAAGAAAGAUUAAUACCCGAUGUUGCGUAUCUUUCUCCUGAAAGAUACGCCAAAGGAUUCCGGUAACCGAUGGGGAUGCGUUCCAUUAGGCAGUUGGCGGGGUAACGGCCCACCAAACCUUCGAUGGAUAGGGGUUCUGAGAGGAAGGUCCCCCACAUUGGAACUGAGACACGGUCCAAACUCCUACGGGAGGCAGCAGUGAGGAAUAUUGGUCAAUGGACGCAAGUCUGAACCAGCCAAGUAGCGUGAAGGAUGACUGCCCUCUGGGUUGUAAACUUCUUUUAUACGGGAAUAACAUGAGGUACGCGUACCUUAUUGCAUGUACCGUAUGAAUAAGC
RNAcentral lists this ribosomal RNA (492 nucleotides) under Bacteroides sp. canine oral taxon 183. Its description in RNAcentral is "bacterial SSU rRNA". It matches the Rfam family "Bacterial small subunit ribosomal RNA", at positions 9 to 491 of the family's 1533-position model. The record is from RNAcentral. Lineage: Bacteria; Pseudomonadati; Bacteroidota; Bacteroidia; Bacteroidales; Bacteroidaceae.